This 445-nucleotide ribosomal RNA is filed under the name uncultured bacterium. RNAcentral describes it as "partial 16S ribosomal RNA". It matches the Rfam family "Bacterial small subunit ribosomal RNA", at positions 354 to 796 of the family's 1533-position model. The record is from RNAcentral.
GUAGGGAAUAUUGGGCAAUGGAUGAAAGUCUGACCCAGCCAUGCCGCGUGCCGGAUGAAGGCGCUCAGCGUUGUAAACGGCUUUUAUUCGGGAAGAAGAGCAGGGAUGCGUCCCUGUGUGACGGUACCGAAUGAAUAAGCACCGGCUAACUCCGUGCCAGCAGCCGCGGUAAUACGGAGGGUGCGAGCGUUGUCCGGAUUUAUUGGGUUUAAAGGGUUCGUAGGUGGCCAAAUAAUUCAGUGGUGAAAUACGGUUGCUCAACAAUCGAGGUGCCAUUGAUACUGCUUGGCUUGAAAUAAUUGGAGGCUGCCGGAAUGGAUGGUGUAGCGGUGAAAUGCAUAGAUAUCAUCCAGAACACCGAUUGCGAAGGCAGGUGGCUACGAUUUAUUUGACACUGAGGCACGAAAGCAUGGGGAGCAAACAGGAUUAGAAACCCCUGUAGUCC